Molecule: transfer RNA, 71 nt
Filed under: bacterium
Lineage: Bacteria
Description: tRNA-Gly
Rfam family: tRNA
About the family: Transfer RNA (tRNA) molecules are approximately 80 nucleotides in length. Their secondary structure includes four short double-helical elements and three loops (D, anti-codon, and T loops).
Source: RNAcentral
GCGGGCGUCGUAUAACGGCAUUACCUGAGAUUUCCAAUCUCAAGACAGGGGUUCGACUCCCCUCGCCCGCU